This 287-nucleotide unclassified non-coding RNA is filed under the name Endophragmiella sp. Its description in RNAcentral is "partial contains 5.8S ribosomal RNA, internal transcribed spacer 2, and large subunit ribosomal RNA". The stretch from base 1 to 71 matches the Rfam family "5.8S ribosomal RNA", at positions 84 to 154 of the family's 154-position model. Lineage: Eukaryota; Fungi; Ascomycota; Sordariomycetes; Sordariales; Helminthosphaeriaceae. The record is from RNAcentral.
GUGAGUCAUCGAAUCUUUGAACGCACAUUGCGCCCGCCAGUACUCUGGCGGGCAUGCCUGUUCGAGCGUCACUCUCUAUCCGUCAAGCCCAGCUUGUGUUGGGGCACUGCGGCUGUCGCAGGCCCCCAAAGAAAGUGGCGGGACCGUUGUCGUGCCGAGCGUAGUACAGCACCUCGCUCCGGCGCCGGCAGUGGCCUCCAGCCGUUAAAGCCCCUACUUUACGUACUGGUUGACCUCGAAUCAGGUAGGAAUACCCGCUGAACUUAAGCAUAUCAAUAAGCGGAGGA